GUCGGGCUUGGUAACGUGAGCCUGUGACCCAAGUGGGGACACCAAAGACAUGGAACGUUGUAUCUGCCCAACUGGCCGAACUCCAUGUGGCAAACUCUUGGCUCGCCCAUUUCAAGCUGAGAGUAGAGCCAUGUGAUUUAGGCUAAAGCUUGGGUCACUUGGCGCCUAAAGUGGAGGGCAACGCGUUAGGCUGGCUUCACAGAGCAGCGACUACCUCCCGCUCCUGGCAGUGGAAGGAUAACGGGUCGGUGCCCCUGGAGGUCAAAUGGCUUUGAUGGGCUGUGCAUACUGGACCAUGUCCUUU
This 304-nucleotide signal recognition particle RNA is filed under the name Jatropha curcas. Its description in RNAcentral is "Plant signal recognition particle RNA". It matches the Rfam family "Plant signal recognition particle RNA". Lineage: Eukaryota; Viridiplantae; Streptophyta; Magnoliopsida; Malpighiales; Euphorbiaceae. The record is from Rfam by way of RNAcentral.